GUUGGAAAUAAACUUUCCAGGAGAGUGUGUCCCAAGGAGAAGACCUCAGCUCUACCCUAUGUCAUCACGCUCAGGAGGGAGGUGAAGGUCGAGCAGAGGCUAAUGACGCUUCAACACAGAAUGUUCUUUGAGAUCAGGCUCCUCGACUCGCAGCCUGGCAGCCUCUGAUUAUAACAGCGAUGGCUGGACAAGCGAAGGAAUUGCUGGAAUUGUGCUUGUGGAGCAGAACAGAACGUUUGGAGAUGUUUCCAGCAUGUGAUCAGUUAAAGAAGUUUCCCUCCUCGGAAGACCUUGAGUGUGUCAGUGGAGGACAGGAGCUGAGAGGGGCAUGGGAGACGCAUGCAGUCGUUUGAUCAGAGCUAAUGCGCUGGAAGCUGCUGAGGAUGCAACCCUUACCGCUCUUUUCCCAGGAGAGACGGGGAGAGAAGAGAAGAAAGGGGGAAUGAAGAUGUUCCCAGCGGACACCUGCAGAGCAUACCUCACCUUCAUCCAUCAGGAAUCUCCCUUAUGAGUUAAUGCCAGCAGGGAACCAUCCUGACAGGUUUGGCCUUAAUGGCACAUUCUGUAGUGAAUUGAGAAUAUUGCAGGAGUGCUAGUUAACUAAGAUGUGCUCCUGCAAUGCUUUUGUGUGGUGUGUUUACGUCUCAGCUUGGUGACAUGGAGGCCAGCCUGAAAGUGAAAGCCAGUUAUGAGGGUCAGACUCGAGAUUGAAACUUGUGAAAAGCUUUCAAACCUUGUGGUUCCAUCAGAGCCUUGUUUGUCUUUGAAAAUGUGCAAAAGAGCAUGAAUAUAGCUCUUGAAUGGUGAAUCUGUUGUUGGCUUUUACCCAAACCUGAUCUGCACUCAGUUCCAUUGAUUGCCAUUUUUGUUAACAACCGUUCAUAUUCACAUGUGAGAAGUAUGCAUUUAAUGGAUGAAACAUUUCAGUACUUCUUUCAUACAAACUGUCGUAUGCAGCUCCAUUGCUUUGUGUUUCUCAGCCUUGCAAGGUCAAAUGUCUAGGUAAAUGUGCAAAGCGUAGAUUAUUGGAGCCCCAUACAUUUCAUCAUGAAA
This is a long non-coding RNA of Onychostoma macrolepis, 1053 nucleotides long. RefSeq lists it as uncharacterized. The transcript is spliced from 3 exons. The record is from RefSeq and is a predicted model, not a curated record. NCBI's taxonomy places the organism in Eukaryota, Metazoa, Chordata, Actinopteri, Cypriniformes, Cyprinidae.